Molecule: non-coding RNA, 27 nt
Filed under: Rattus norvegicus (Norway rat)
Lineage: Eukaryota; Metazoa; Chordata; Mammalia; Rodentia; Muridae
Source: RNAcentral
UGCUGGGAUAGAUUAAGUGAGAAGCUG